Molecule: microRNA precursor, 114 nt
Filed under: Otolemur garnettii (small-eared galago)
Lineage: Eukaryota; Metazoa; Chordata; Mammalia; Primates; Galagidae
Description: miRNA (ENSOGAG00000018000.2)
Source: RNAcentral
UGGAUGUCGCUGACACAGGACAGGGGCCUCCAUCAUUACCCGGCAGUAUUAGAGACUCCCAACAGGCACCCAAACACUGCUGGGUAAGACGAGGGCCCCCACCCAGCUUGCCCA